ACGCGUUAAACCAGUCGCAAUUAGCACUGACAAAUACUGCUCUUAAUUAGUGGAAAAUAAGAUUAAAGAAGAAUCGAUUUUGAAAGAACCAUCUACAAUCACAGUAAAAUAAAUUAACAAAUAGAUGUGCUACGUCGGCGUUCCAAUUCUAUACCAUUCACUCUCUGCUACAAAACAUAAUUAAAUGCUCCAUGAUUAUUAAACCAAAAACCCCAUUAAUUAUUCUUUGGCUUACGUUACUUCAUUGAGUUUAUGUUCUAAGUCUCUUUCGUUUGGCAAUAUUAGUACUGAAAAAUGCGUUUUAGUUCCUUCAAACCCAUCAAAAGCUGCAUAUUCUCAUU
Molecule: long non-coding RNA, 341 nt
Filed under: Nicotiana benthamiana
Lineage: Eukaryota; Viridiplantae; Streptophyta; Magnoliopsida; Solanales; Solanaceae
Description: long non-coding RNA (NBEN_LNC032773)
Source: RNAcentral